Long non-coding RNA from Cheilinus undulatus (humphead wrasse), 343 nucleotides. RefSeq lists it as uncharacterized. The record is from RefSeq and is a predicted model, not a curated record. The transcript is spliced from 3 exons. NCBI's taxonomy places the organism in Eukaryota, Metazoa, Chordata, Actinopteri, Labriformes, Labridae.
AGGUGUGCUGGGUCUGCUGUGUUUAGGUGGUCUCUAUCAGUGGUGUGAGGACAGGUGUGCUGGGUCUGCUGUGUUUAGGUGGUCUCUAUCAGUGGUGUGGGGACAGGUGUGCUGGGUCUGCUGUGUUUAGGUGGUCUCUAUCAGUGGUGUGGGGACAGGUGUGCUGGGUCUGCUGUGUUUAGGUGGUCUCUAUCAGUGGUGUGGGGACAGGUGUGCUGGGUCUGCUGUGUUUAGGUGGUCUCUAUCAGUGGUGUGGGGACAGGUGUGCUGGGUCUGUUUUAGGUGGUCUCUAUCAGUGGUGUGGGGACAGGUGUGCUGGGUCUGUUUUAGGUGGUCUCUAUCA